AUUCUACUCCCUCCAUUGCACAAUACAUGCCUUCUAUUUGUCAAAAUAUAUAUGUAUCUAGACAUGUUUUAGUAUAUAGGCACAUCCAUUUUUGGACAAAUGGAAGUCAAGUAUUUUGGAACGGAGGGAGUACACA
This is a non-coding RNA of Triticum aestivum (bread wheat), 136 nucleotides long. The record is from Rfam. Lineage: Eukaryota; Viridiplantae; Streptophyta; Magnoliopsida; Poales; Poaceae.